Molecule: ribosomal RNA, 252 nt
Filed under: uncultured bacterium
Lineage: Bacteria
Description: partial 16S ribosomal RNA
Rfam family: Bacterial small subunit ribosomal RNA
Source: RNAcentral
UACGUAGGGGGCAAGCGUUGUCCGGAUUUAUUGGGCGUAAAGAGCGUGUAGGCGGCUUGGUAGGUCUUGCGUCAAAACCUGAGGCUCAACCUCAGUUCGCGUGGGAAACCAUCUAGCUAGAGUCCGGAAGAGGAGAGCGGAAUUCCCAGUGUAGCGGUGAAAUGCGCAGAUAUUGGGAAGAACACCAGUGGCGAAGGCGGUUCUCUGGGACGGUACUGACGCUGAGACGCGAAAGCGUGGGGAGCGAACAGG